AGUGAACGCUGGCGGUAGGCCUAACACAUGCAAGUCGAACGGCAGCACAGUAAGAGCUUGCUCUUACGGGUGGCGAGUGGCGGACGGGUGAGGAAUACAUCGGAAUCUACUUUUUCGUGGGGGAUAACGUAGGGAAACUUACGCUCAUACCGCAUACGACCUACGGGUGAAAGCAGGGGAUCUUCGGACCUUGCGCGAUUGAAUGCGCCGAUGUCGGAUUAGCUAGUUGGCGGGGUAAAGGCCCACCCAGGCGACGAUCCGUAGCUGGUCUGAGAGGAUGAUCAGCCACACAGGAACUGAGACACGGUCCAGACUCCUACGGGAGGCAGCAGUGGCGAAUAUUGGACAAUGGGCGCAAGCCUGAUCCAGCCAUACCGCGUGGGUGAAGAAGGCCUUCGGGUUGUAAAGCCCUGUUGUUGGGAAAGAAAAGCAGCAGGUUAAUACCCCGCUGUGCUGACGGUACCCAAAGAAUAAGCACCGGCUAACUUCGU
Molecule: ribosomal RNA, 491 nt
Filed under: uncultured bacterium
Lineage: Bacteria
Description: partial 16S ribosomal RNA
Rfam family: Bacterial small subunit ribosomal RNA
Source: RNAcentral